GAUAAACGCUGGCGGCGUGCCUAAUACAUGCAAGUCGAGCGAACGGACGAGAAGCUUGCUUCUCUGAUGUUAGCGGCGGACGGGUGAGUAACACGUGGAUAACCUACCUAUAAGACUGGGAUAACUUCGGGAAACCGGAGCUAAUACCGGAUAAUAUUUUGAACCGCAUGGUUCAAAAGUGAAAGACGGUCUUGCUGUCACUUAUAGAUGGAUCCGCGCUGCAUUAGCUAGUUGGUAAGGUAACGGCUUACCAAGGCAACGAUGCAUAGCCGACCUGAGAGGGUGAUCGGCCACACUGGAACUGAGACACGGUCCAGACUCCUACGGGAGGCAGCAGUAGGGAAUCUUCCGCAAUGGGCGAAAGCCUGACGGAGCAACGCCGCGUGAGUGAUGAAGGUCUUCGGAUCGUAAAACUCUGUUAUUAGGGAAGAACAUAUGUGUAAGUAACUGUGCACAUCUUGACGGUACCUAAUCAGAAAGCCACGGCUAACUACGUGCCAGCAGCCGCGGUAAUACGUAGGUGGCAAGCGUUAUCCGGAAUUAUUGGGCGCAAAGCGCGCGUAGGCGGUUUUUUAAGUCUGAUGUGAAAGCCCACGGCUCAACCGUGGAGGGUCAUUGGAAACUGGAAAACUUGAGUGCAGAAGAGGAAAGUGGAAUUCCAUGUGUAGCGGUGAAAUGCGCAGAGAUAUGGAGGAACACCAGUGGCGAAGGCGACUUUCUGGUCUGUAACUGACGCUGAUGUGCGAAAGCGUGGGGAUCAAACAGGAUUAGAUACCCUGGUAGUCCACGCCGUAAACGAUGAGUGCUAAGUGUUAGGGGGUUUCCGCCCCUUAGUGCUGCAGCUAACGCAUUAAGCACUCCGCCUGGGGAGUACGACCGCAAGGUUGAAACUCAAAGGAAUUGACGGGGACCCGCACAAGCGGUGGAGCAUGUGGUUUAAUUCGAAGCAACGCGAAGAACCUUACCAAAUCUUGACAUCCUUUGACAACUCUAGAGAUAGAGCCUUCCCCUUCGGGGGACAAAGUGACAGGUGGUGCAUGGUUGUCGUCAGCUCGUGUCGUGAGAUGUUGGGUUAAGUCCCGCAACGAGCGCAACCCUUAAGCUUAGUUGCCAUCAUUAAGUUGGGCACUCUAAGUUGACUGCCGGUGACAAACCGGAGGAAGGUGGGGAUGACGUCAAAUCAUCAUGCCCCUUAUGAUUUGGGCUACACACGUGCUACAAUGGACAAUACAAAGGGCAGCGAAACCGCGAGGUCAAGCAAAUCCCAUAAAGUUGUUCUCAGUUCGGAUUGUAGUCUGCAACUCGACUACAUGAAGCUGGAAUCGCUAGUAAUCGUAGAUCAGCAUGCUACGGUGAAUACGUUCCCGGGUCU
RNAcentral lists this ribosomal RNA (1372 nucleotides) under uncultured bacterium. RNAcentral describes it as "bacterial SSU rRNA". It matches the Rfam family "Bacterial small subunit ribosomal RNA", at positions 28 to 1381 of the family's 1533-position model. The record is from RNAcentral.